This 161-nucleotide ribosomal RNA is filed under the name Hordeum bogdanii. RNAcentral's name for it is "5.8S ribosomal RNA". It matches the Rfam family "5.8S ribosomal RNA". Rfam says of the family: 5.8S ribosomal RNA (5.8S rRNA) is a component of the large subunit of the eukaryotic ribosome. It is transcribed by RNA polymerase I as part of the 45S precursor that also contains 18S and 28S rRNA. Functionally, it is thought that 5.8S rRNA may be involved in ribosome translocation. Lineage: Eukaryota; Viridiplantae; Streptophyta; Magnoliopsida; Poales; Poaceae. RNAcentral also lists the same sequence under 1 other name. The record is from RNAcentral.
ACGACUCUCGGCAACGGAUAUCUCGGCUCUCGCAUCGAUGAAGAACGUAGCGAAAUGCGAUACCUGGAGUGAAUUGCAGAAUCCCGCGAACCAUCGAGUCUUUGAACGCAAGUUGCGCCCGAGGCCACUCGGCCGAGGGCACGCCUGCCUGGGCGUCACGC